Molecule: ribosomal RNA, 377 nt
Filed under: uncultured Rhodocyclaceae bacterium
Lineage: Bacteria; Pseudomonadati; Pseudomonadota; Betaproteobacteria; Rhodocyclales; Rhodocyclaceae
Description: bacterial SSU rRNA
Rfam family: Bacterial small subunit ribosomal RNA
Source: RNAcentral
UAGAGGAGUGCUCGAAGGAGAGCCGUAACACAGGUGCUGCAUGGCUGUCGUCAGCUCGUGUCGUGAGUAUGUUGGGUUAAGUCCCGCAACGAGCGCAACCCUUGUCAUUAGUUGCCAUCAUUUGGUUGGGCACUCUAAUGAGACUGCCGGUGACAAACCGGAGGAAGGUGGGGAUGACGUCAAGUCCUCAUGGCCCUUAUGGGUAGGGCUUCACACGUCAUACAAUGGUCGGUACAGAGGGUUGCCAACCCGCGAGGGGGAGCUAAUCCCACAAAGCCGAUCGUAGUCCGGAUCGCAGUCUGCAACUCGACUGCGUGAAGUCGGAAUCGCUAGUAAUCGUGGAUCAGCAUGUCACGGUGAAUACGUUCCCGGGUCUU